AACCUCCGCAAUGUGAGAAAUCGCGACGGGGGGAUCCCAAGUGCCAUUCUUAACGGGAUGGCUUUUCUUAAGUGUAAAAAGCUUUUGGAAUAAGAGCUGGGCAAGACCGGUGCCAGCCGCCGCGGUAACACCGGCAGCUCUAGUGGUAGCUGUUUUUAUUGGGCCUAAAGCGUUCGUAGCCGGUUUGAUAAGUCACUGGUGAAAUCCUGUAGCUUAACUGUGGGAAUUGCUGGUGAUACUGUUGAACUUGAGGUCGGGAGAGGUUAGCGGUACUCCCAGGGUAGAGGUGAAAUUCUGUAAUCCUGGGAGGACCACCUGUGGCGAAGGCGGCUAACUGGAACGAACCUGACGGUGAGGGACGAAAGCUAGGGGCGCGAACCGGAUUAGAUACCCGGGUAGUCCUAGCCGUAAACGAUGCGGACUUGGUGUUGGGAUGGCUUUGAGCCGCUCCGGUGCCGAAGGGAAGCUGUUAUCCGCCGCCUGGGAAGUACGGUCGCAAGACUGAAACUUAAAGGAAUU
Molecule: ribosomal RNA, 519 nt
Filed under: uncultured bacterium
Lineage: Bacteria
Description: bacterial SSU rRNA
Rfam family: Archaeal small subunit ribosomal RNA
Source: RNAcentral